GGGGGCGUGGUGCAGUUGGUUAGCACGCAGGCCUGUCAAGCCUGAGGUCGCGGGUUCAAGUCCCGUCGCUCCCGCCA
Molecule: transfer RNA, 77 nt
Filed under: Acidobacteriota bacterium
Lineage: Bacteria; Pseudomonadati; Acidobacteriota
Also listed under: 1 other name
Description: tRNA-Asp
Rfam family: tRNA
About the family: Transfer RNA (tRNA) molecules are approximately 80 nucleotides in length. Their secondary structure includes four short double-helical elements and three loops (D, anti-codon, and T loops).
Source: RNAcentral